RNAcentral lists this transfer RNA (72 nucleotides) under Marmota monax (woodchuck). It matches the Rfam family "tRNA". From Rfam's summary of the family: Transfer RNA (tRNA) molecules are approximately 80 nucleotides in length. Their secondary structure includes four short double-helical elements and three loops (D, anti-codon, and T loops). The record is from Rfam by way of RNAcentral. Lineage: Eukaryota; Metazoa; Chordata; Mammalia; Rodentia; Sciuridae.
UGGGAUAUAGCUCAGUGGUAGAGCGCUUGCCUACCAUGCAUGAGACCCUGGGUUUGACCCCCAGCACCACAA